Molecule: ribosomal RNA, 292 nt
Filed under: uncultured prokaryote
Description: partial 16S ribosomal RNA
Rfam family: Bacterial small subunit ribosomal RNA
Source: RNAcentral
UACGUAGGGGGCUAGCGUUAUCCGGAAUUACUGGGCGUAAAGGGCGUGUAGGCGGUCAUUUUAAGUCAGAGGUGAAAACUACCGGCUUAACCGGUAGCCUGCCUUUGAAACUGGAUGACUUGAGGGUAGGAGAGGGGAGUGGAAUUCCCAGUGUAGCGGUGAAAUGCGUAGAUAUUAGGAGGAACACCGGUGGCGAAGGCGGCUUACUGGACUGUAACUGACGCUGAGUCACGAAAGCGUGGGUAGCAAACAGGAUUAGAUACCCCCGUAGUCCCUGAGCGGGCUGGCAAGG